UCGGCUCACAAGAUUAUGGAGGCUGAGAAAGACCCAUGAUCUGCCGUCUGCAAGCUGAAGACCCAGCAAAGCCAGUGGUGUAAUUCAUUUGGGGUCUGAAGGCCUGAGACCCAGGGGAGCUGAUGAUAUAAAUCCCAGUCUGGGGGCUUGACGUGAUGAGAUGAGAUGUCCGAGCUCUAGCAGUGAGCCUUGACCAGCUUUGAGGACAGCUCUGGAGCACUCCUGUGGGGUCGUGAUGGUCACAUCCCUGCCACUACAGCAUAAGACUUCCCUUCCUAGUCGUUGCCGGCUAUUACAUUUUGGGCCACCUUUGGAGACAUUGGAUACCUCUGAACACAGUUCACCGGAACAGCAUCAAGGAGUGCAAAGUGCAAAGGAGUAGAAAGCGAAGGGAAAGACCCCUUCUUAUCUUCAGACCAGACUCUCAUGUGCUUUUGUGGAAUAAGUAUUUUGUACCAGGACUGGACAACAAAGUGGGUUCCUGAUGAGAGAAGAUGAAAGGAAUGACCGCGUGGCCAGGAUGGGGAUAUCAAAGGCCGCCCUCUCUUCCCUCUGGC
Molecule: long non-coding RNA, 557 nt
Organism: Mesoplodon densirostris (Blainville's beaked whale)
Lineage: Eukaryota; Metazoa; Chordata; Mammalia; Artiodactyla; Ziphiidae
Exons: 3
Source: RefSeq, a predicted model, not a curated record